UUUUUGGUGACUACUGAUGUGAUGCACGUUUUAUAAUCGAAGUGAGUUGCCGCCUUUUCUCUUCUUCUGACUUGGCUUUUCUUACUGGAAAGGCAACAUUCCUGCCUAUCCCAUCUACGCCAGUCGACCGAUUUGCAUAUGUUAGUGAAUCAUUUGGCGGGAGAGCAAAAACGCCGCCAAAUCUACUACU
This is a non-coding RNA of Caenorhabditis elegans, 190 nucleotides long. The record is from Ensembl. NCBI's taxonomy places the organism in Eukaryota, Metazoa, Nematoda, Chromadorea, Rhabditida, Rhabditidae.